GACAGAGGUGCCGAGCGUUAGGCGGAAUUACUGGGCGUAAAGCGUGCGCAGGCGGUUGUGCAAGACAGAUGUGAAAUCCCCGGGCUCAACCUGGGAACUGCAUUUGUGACUGCACGGCUGGAGUGCGGCAGAGGGGGAUGGAAUUCCGCGUGUAGCAGUGAAAUGCGUAGAUAUGCGGAGGAACACCGAUGGCGAAGGCAAUCCCCUGGGCCUGCACUGACGCUCAUGCACGAAAGCGUGGGGAGCAAACAGG
RNAcentral lists this ribosomal RNA (253 nucleotides) under uncultured bacterium. RNAcentral describes it as "partial 16S ribosomal RNA". It matches the Rfam family "Bacterial small subunit ribosomal RNA", at positions 524 to 776 of the family's 1533-position model. The record is from RNAcentral.